RNAcentral lists this ribosomal RNA (253 nucleotides) under uncultured bacterium. Its description in RNAcentral is "partial 16S ribosomal RNA". It matches the Rfam family "Bacterial small subunit ribosomal RNA", at positions 524 to 776 of the family's 1533-position model. The record is from RNAcentral.
UACGGAGGAUGCAAGCGUUAUCCGGAAUGAUUGGGCGUAAAGCGUCCGCAGGUGGCUAUGUAAGUCUGCUGUUAAAGAGUGAUGCUCAACCUCAUAAGAGCAGUGGAAACUACAUGGCUAGAGUGCGUUCGGGGCAGAGGGAAUUCCUGGUGUAGCGGUGAAAUGCGUAGAGAUCAGGAAGAACACCGGUGGCGAAAGCGCUCUGCUAGGCCGCAACUGACACUGAGGGACGAAAGCUAGGGGAGCGAAUGGG